Leopardus geoffroyi (Geoffroy's cat) is the source of this 3611-nucleotide long non-coding RNA. RefSeq lists it as uncharacterized. The record is from RefSeq and is a predicted model, not a curated record. NCBI's taxonomy places the organism in Eukaryota, Metazoa, Chordata, Mammalia, Carnivora, Felidae. The transcript has 3 exons.
CCCUCUCUUUGCCCCUCUCUGGCUUGCUCUUUCUCUCAAAAUAAAUAAAUAAACUUUAAAUAAUUCUGUUCAACCUUGCCUUAUUCAGAACAAUCUUCCAAAAUUUUGCCAAUUCCUGAUCAGCUAGAAACCCUUGUUAAAAUCCCCCACUAAUGAGGUUUAUGUGCACUCACGAGAGCUCUACUUAGUUGGAAUCUGGGUGAGGACAUGCUAGACUGUCUUUCACAUUUCUUUUUUAAAAAUUUUAAACAGGAUUUGCUAAACAACAGUACAGUAUAACAACAAAAGAAACAAGUUAUUUACGGACAGUACUAACAUGGCAACUCACGUUUAGAAGACAUUUUGCAAUUUAUGAAAUGUUUUUAUACCCUUCUCAUUUAGCUUUCACAAUAAUCAUCAAGGAUAUUAUAAUACUCAUUAUCCGUGUAUUGUAGUUAAGGAAAAUAAAGUGGCUCUGGAAGGUUAAGUGUUUGCAAAGUCCCAUAAUUAGUAAGAGAAGUGAGAGCUCAAAGUAUAUCCUUUAAAUCCAAAUUCUGUGCUCUCUCCCAUCAUAUGUUUUAGCAAAAGUACUUUCAUAUAGAAAACUGAAUUUACUCAUGAAGAGUUAACAUUUAAAUUUGAGUGUCAACAGUUCUCCCAAGCGUGAGCAUGACUUCCCUCAUCUACAUUCCUGCCAACCAUGUAAUAGAAAGUACUCAAAAGUCAUAAAAUUGUUUCUUUAAAAUAUUUUAUUCCUCAGUCUUCACUAGAAUUGGUUACAAUGAGAAGGUCUCAUUAAGGUUUGUUUAAUCUGCAUAAAAGAGUUUGUUGACUUAUGCAAAUUUAAAAACCACAACUUAAAAUGUAGAAGACAUUAAAUCAAUAGAACACAUUUAAGGAUGCAGUACAUAUUAAGGAUGCCUAACUUCCUGGGUUAAUGUCACAUUUGAAAGUGUUAACUUCCUCAAUUUUCUCUGUGAAUGAAUUUUUCUUCAGAAGGAAAGAAACCAGUUUUCUCUAGAGAACAUUUGCAAGAGUUUUCAUAACAACAACAAAAAAAUCCAACCUCAAAUUUGUGAUUUGCAAAAGAAUUAUCCAGCAUGAUUUGAGGAAGAAAUAGUCUUAUAAAAUCGAGUUCCGAAAUGGGCCCCAGGGCCAUUCUUGUGUUUUCCCUUUGCUUUAUUUAUAAUCCUACCUAGUCCACUCUUUGUGCCUUUGGCAUUGUUGAGAGUAAAAACCAACUUCCAGUGUACAAUGAAGAGUAACAUGAAACUUCAAAUUCUAAUAUUUCCUAUUUCUACAACACUGUGAUUCUGCUAGUUCCUGCCCUGACAUCUCUCCCUUCCUUUUCAUUUCUGACUCACCCUGCUUUUGUUCCAAGAUCCAUUUCACCACUAGGCAGCUCAAGUGAUACAUGAAAGCUGAAAGCUUCCUGUUGCUCCAGGAUAGCCUUUCUUAAGUCUAAGACAGUGAUUUUCAAAGUGUGAUCCCUGGACCAAAGUUUCAGCAUCACUAGAAACUUAGAAGCACGAAUUACUGUCCCUACCCCACAUCUACUGAAUCAGAAGCUCUGGGAGUGUGGCCCAGCAAUCUGUGUAUAAACAAGUCUUCAGGUGAUGAUGUUGCAUGACUAAAUUUAAAACCAUUGCUGUAAGCCAGUGAUUCUCAGCCCUGAUUGUGUGUUAGAAUCAUCUGAUGUCCAGUUGCCACACUUUCCACUCCGUCCCCCAAAGAUUCUGAUUUAAUUGAUAUAGGGUAGGGUUGAGCAAGGGGAUUUGUUAAAAGCUUUCCAGGUGAUUCCAGUGUAAAGCCAAGUUUGAGAAACAUUGAUGAAAGCCAAUCAGAAUAAUCUAGCCUGAAAUACUGAAUCGCAGUUUUGAUGAAACGGAUGUAUCCAUUUCCAUAAGGCUGAAUGAAUACCAAAUGUGUUAUUACCAUUAUUAUAGCCACUGGUGGUAGCAUGAGAGAAAUGCAGGCUAAUAAAUUGCUCUUAGCUACUAAAUAGGACAUGCUGUUUUAUUUCAACAAGAGCAGAAUCUUUAGUAGCCUCAAGAGUGACAGAUUUGCAAGGGGUGGUAGACAGAUAGCCCAACAGCUACUGGCAGUGAAGGCACGCUCAACUGGUAUGUUUUGUAUGGGAAGGGGUAAAAAUCAUUUGGAAAAGAAUUUGUGGUAAGCCAGGAUUUGAACCCAAGCAGUCUUAAUCCAGAAUCCAAACCCUUAACCAUGGUUGCCACACGGUUCCUGUCUGUGGAUAUUAUGAACAAGCAGUAAAAGGCAAGGGAAGACACCUUCAGUGGCAGUGGAGGAGAUGAACAUCUUUCAUUUCAUAUGUGUCCAUACUGCAGUAUGUUUAUGACUGCUUGUUAAAUCUAGAAGAGCCUACGUUUCUGGACUCAAUACUUGUUUGGAUCUAAACUGACCUAAACUUACGAUUUAUAUCAACUCUCCCUCCUCAAUCUUAGGGAAAAAUUUCCUCUCACUUAUCAGGAGAAACAAACCAUGAAGACAGAACACAUGAGUCAACUUCAGUUAAUUCAGUAUAUGCAAGAUAUUCAACAGCAAGCAAGAUAUAUCAAUAAUAAUACAGAGUGUGAUUCAAGAAAUACAAAUGCCUGAUUAUAGAGCAACACUUAACUUACUAAAUAUAACCACUCCUUGACUCUACCUGAACAACUUUAAUUUGAAUAGAUAUUGGUAUGUAAAAACUUACUUUCAUAAGCUCAUAAUAAUUAUCUUGGUAUUGUUAACCAAGUAGCAAAGUAUCUAGCACUUAGGCAAAGAUCAAAUCUGCUAACUCAGGACUCAGUGCCUCCCCAGCAGUGUCAUGUUCUUAAAGGUUUUUGAUGAUGUUCCUUACUUUCCAUUAUUCUUUUUUUUUUUAAUAUAAAAUUGUGAUAUGGCUUGGGAAAAGCAGUCUUGAUCAUGUCAACUCCUUCCUCUGUAGAAUGUGACUAAUGAUAAUUAAUGUCCCUCUUGCCUUAAUAGAUAUCCUAAGGAUCAAAUUCUGUGAAAAUGUUUGGUGAAUCAUAAAGUCCCAUGUAAAUGUUACAGUAGAGAUCCUGGUUAGGUUGUACCUCUCUCUUGGAGACAGAAGACCUGGUCACUUAAAAUGUUGCAAUUAGAAAUGUUCAUGUAGCAGAGAAGAAGUAAUGAAGAGCCAAAUGAAAAGCUCUGAUAUGUGAUGUGUAAACUGACUUGAAAUAACAAGUUCAUACAGAAUAAGGAAGAACAGCCAGGAAAAUCCUGGAAAACAACAACACAAAAACCCAAUAAGUGCCUGAAAAAUAUCUUUAGAAAUUGAAUUUUGGAACCUAAGAAUAUGUGUAUUUCCUUUGGGAAGCAGCCAUUUGUCCUAAAAGAUGUGCCAAGUUUUUACAAUGGAAAGGGAGGGAAGGCCAUAUGAAACAGGCAAACUCUUAUCACCAUGUUUUACAUGUGGAGAGAAGAUUUAAAUAAUGCUGCAUGCUAUGAACAAGCAAUACAUUUCAGUAUGUGAAAUUAUUCCUAAUAUCAUAGUCCUUGCUAAAUUUUAAUUUUGAUCUCAAGAACAGUCUUUUUUCCCUGUCAUUCUUUGUCCUGAGCUUCUCCCAUCCAACUUCAAUCCACAUAAAGACUUCUGGAAUUCUUGA